This 253-nucleotide unclassified non-coding RNA is filed under the name uncultured Bacillaceae bacterium. Its description in RNAcentral is "contains 16S-23S intergenic spacer region". It matches the Rfam family "Bacterial small subunit ribosomal RNA", at positions 524 to 776 of the family's 1533-position model. Lineage: Bacteria; Bacillati; Bacillota; Bacilli; Caryophanales; Bacillaceae. The record is from RNAcentral.
UACGUAGGUGGCAAGCGUUGUCCGGAAUUAUUGGGCGUAAAGCGCGCGCAGGCGGCCUCUUAAGUCUGAUGUGAAAUCUCGGGGCUCAACCCCGAGAAGUCAUUGGAAACUGGGAGACUUGAGUACAGAAGAGGAGAGUGGAAUUCCACGUGUAGCGGUGAAAUGCGUAGAUAUGUGGAGGAACACCAGUGGCGAAGGCGACUCUCUGGUCUGUCGCUGACGCUGAGGUGCGAAAGCGUGGGUAGCAAACAGG